AACGAAUGCUAAUACCGUAUACGCCCUCCGGGGGAAAGGUCAGCCGCUAAAAGAGGGGCCCGCGUCUGAUUAGCUUGUUGGUAAGGUAAUGGCUUACCAAGGCUUCGAUCAGUAGCUGGUCUGAGAGGAUGAUCAGCCACACUGGGACUGAGACACGGCCCAGACUCCUACGGGAGGCAGCAGUGGGGAAUAUUGGACAAUGGAGGCAACUCUGAUCCAGCAAUGCCGCGUGUGUGAUGACGGCCCUAGGGUUGUAAAGCACUUUCAACGGUGAAGAUGAUGACGGUAGCCGUAGAAG
RNAcentral lists this ribosomal RNA (298 nucleotides) under uncultured Alphaproteobacteria bacterium. RNAcentral describes it as "partial 16S ribosomal RNA". It matches the Rfam family "Bacterial small subunit ribosomal RNA", at positions 155 to 487 of the family's 1533-position model. The record is from RNAcentral. Lineage: Bacteria; Pseudomonadati; Pseudomonadota; Alphaproteobacteria.